Molecule: long non-coding RNA, 338 nt
Filed under: Citrus sinensis (sweet orange)
Lineage: Eukaryota; Viridiplantae; Streptophyta; Magnoliopsida; Sapindales; Rutaceae
Description: long non-coding RNA (CSIN_LNC001818)
Source: RNAcentral
AGAAAUUAGCCAUCAACGUUAGCGCCAGGGGAUCUUCUCCUGCUCCUCAACCUUCUUCUCCGGCCCCUCAGCCCAGCGGUAGUACUCCCUCUCCGGUUCCUGCACCAGCACGGACACCGACACCGGCACCAGCACCAGCACCAGAACCAGCAACAACACCUACGCCAGCACCAGCAUCAGCACCAACACCAACACCGAGAUCAGCACCAACACCAGCUCCCACAAGACAGCCAGCGACUCAUGUUGUUGGAGGUGCUCUAGGAUGGACUGUCCCUCCCAACGCUUCUGUGGGUUACCAGAAUUGGGCUCGCAACAACAACUUUUCGGUCGGAGACAUU